Mycena rebaudengoi is the source of this 99-nucleotide non-coding RNA. NCBI's taxonomy places the organism in Eukaryota, Fungi, Basidiomycota, Agaricomycetes, Agaricales, Mycenaceae. The record is from the annotation of a GenBank genome assembly.
GCCUUGGUGGAUCAAUUGGCAGAUCAUCCCUCAUCAGUGCUAGCCCACAAUCCUCCACGAAUAUACGGGAAGACGGAGGUUCGAAUCCUCCUCAAGGCA